Molecule: ribosomal RNA, 253 nt
Filed under: uncultured bacterium
Lineage: Bacteria
Description: partial 16S ribosomal RNA
Rfam family: Bacterial small subunit ribosomal RNA
Source: RNAcentral
GACAGAGGUCCCGAGCGUUAGGCGGAAUCACUGGGCUUAAAGCGUGUGUAGGCGGAUCGUUAAGUACCUUGUGAAAGCCCAGGGCUUAACCCUGGAAUUGCCUUUAAGACUGCAUCGCUCGAAUUGUGGAGAGGUGAGUGGAAUUCCGAGUGUAGAGGUGAAAUUCGUAGAUAUUCGGAAGAACACCAGUGGCGAAGGCGACUCACUGGACACAUAUUGACGCUGAGGUGCGAAAGCGUGGGGAGCAAACAGG